This 62-nucleotide transfer RNA is filed under the name Erinaceus europaeus (western European hedgehog). It matches the Rfam family "tRNA", at positions 6 to 65 of the family's 71-position model. From Rfam's summary of the family: Transfer RNA (tRNA) molecules are approximately 80 nucleotides in length. Their secondary structure includes four short double-helical elements and three loops (D, anti-codon, and T loops). Further hydrogen bonds mediate the characteristic L-shaped molecular structure. tRNAs have two regions of fundamental functional importance: the anti-codon, which is responsible for specific mRNA codon recognition, and the 3' end, to which the tRNAs corresponding amino acid is attached (by aminoacyl-tRNA synthetases). tRNAs cope with the degeneracy of the genetic code in two manners: having more than one tRNA (with a specific anti-codon) for a particular amino acid; and 'wobble' base-pairing, i.e. permitting non-standard base-pairing at the 3rd anti-codon position. The record is from Rfam by way of RNAcentral. Lineage: Eukaryota; Metazoa; Chordata; Mammalia; Eulipotyphla; Erinaceidae.
UGUGGUUCAGUGGAUAGAGCACAUGAUUUGCAUACAUGAGGCCCCAGGUUUGAUCCCUGGUA